GCACAAGCGGUGGAGCAUGUGGUUUAAUUCGACGCAACGCGAAGAACCUUACCUGGGCUCGAAAUGUAGUGGAAUCCGGUGGAAACAUCGGCGUCUAGCAAUAGACCGCUAUAUAGGUGCUGCAUGGCUGUCGUCAGCUCGUGUCGUGAGAUGUUGGGUUAAGUCCCGCAACGAGCGCAACCCUUAUUACCAGUUGCUACCAUUUAGUUGAGCACUCUAAGGAGACUGCCGGUGAUAAGCCGCGAGGAAGGUGGGGAUGACGUCAAGUCCUCAUGGCCCUUACGGGCUGGGCUACACACGUGCUACAAUGGCGGUGACAAUGGGACGCUAAGGGGCAACCCUUCGCAAAUCUCAAAAAGCCGUCUCAGUUCGGAUUGGGCUCCGCAACUCGAGCCCAUGAAGUUGGAAUCGCUAGUAAUCGUGGAUCAGCAUGCCACGGUGAAUACGUUCCCGGGC
RNAcentral lists this ribosomal RNA (456 nucleotides) under uncultured bacterium. RNAcentral describes it as "bacterial SSU rRNA". It matches the Rfam family "Bacterial small subunit ribosomal RNA", at positions 923 to 1379 of the family's 1533-position model. The record is from RNAcentral.